This 292-nucleotide ribosomal RNA is filed under the name uncultured bacterium. RNAcentral's name for it is "partial 16S ribosomal RNA". It matches the Rfam family "Bacterial small subunit ribosomal RNA", at positions 505 to 796 of the family's 1533-position model. The record is from RNAcentral.
GUGACAGCCGCCGCGGUAAUACAGAGAGUGCGAACGUUGUUCGGAAUUACUGGGCUUAAAGAGCACGUAGGCGGCAUCGUAAGUGUCAGGUGAAAUCCCACGGCUCACCCGUGGAACUGCCUGGCAGACUGCGAUGCUCGAGUGUGGUAGGGGAGAACGGAACUCCUGGUGGAGCGGUGAAAUGCGUAGAUAUCGGGAGGAACACCGGUGGCGAAGGCGGUUCUCUGGUCCACAACUGACGCUGAGGUGCGAAAGCCAGGGGAGCAAACGGGAUUAGAUACCCUUGUAGUCC